GAUGAACGCUGGCGGCGUGCCUAAUACAUGCAAGUCGAGCGAACGGACGAGAAGCUUGCUUCUCUUAUGUUAGCGGCGGGCGGGUGAGUAACACGUGGAUAACCUACCUAUAAGACUGGGAUAACUUCGGGAAACCGGAGCUAAUACCGGAUAAUAUUUUGAACCGCAUGGUUCAAAAGUGAACGACGGUCUUGCUGUCACUUAGAGAUGGAUCCGCGCUGCAUUAGCUAGUUGGUACGGUAACGGCUUACCAAGGCAACGAUGCAUAGCCGACCUGAGAGGGUGAUCGGCCACACUGGAACUGAGACACGGUCCAGACUCCUACGGGAGGCAGCAGUAGGGAAUCUUGCGCAAUGGGCGAAAGCCUGACGGAGCAAUGCCGCGUGAGUGAUGAAGGUCUUCGGAUCGUAAAACUCUGUUAUUAGGGAAGAACAUAUGUGUAAGUAUAUGUGCACAUCUUGACGGUACCUACUCAGAAAGCCACGGCUAACUACGUG
RNAcentral lists this ribosomal RNA (497 nucleotides) under uncultured bacterium. RNAcentral's name for it is "partial 16S ribosomal RNA". It matches the Rfam family "Bacterial small subunit ribosomal RNA", at positions 28 to 507 of the family's 1533-position model. The record is from RNAcentral.